ACGAACGCUGGCGGCGUGCCUAAUACCUGCAAGUAGAACGCUGAAGGAGGAGCUUGCUUCUCUGGAUGAGUUGCGAACGGGUGAGUAACGCGUAGGUAACCUGCCUGGUAGCGGGGGAUAACUAUUGGAAACGAUAGCUAAUACCGCAUAAGAGUAGAUGUCGCAUGACAUUUGCUUAAAAGGUGCAAUUGCAUCACUACCAGAUGGACCUGCGCUGUAUUAGCUAGUUGGUGAGGUAACGGCUCACCAAGGCAACGAUACAUAGCCGACCUGAGAGGGUGAUCGGCCACACUGGGACUGAGACACGGCCCAGACUCCUACGGGAGGCAGCAGUAGGGAAUCUUCGGCAAUGGACGGAAGUCUGACCGAGCAACGCCGCGUGAGUGAAGAAGGUUUUCGGAUCGUAAAGCUCUGUUGUAAGAGAAGAACGAGUGUGAGAGUGGAAAGUUCACACUGUGACGGUAUCUUACCAGAAAGGGACGGCUAACUACGUG
This 494-nucleotide ribosomal RNA is filed under the name uncultured bacterium. Its description in RNAcentral is "partial 16S ribosomal RNA". It matches the Rfam family "Bacterial small subunit ribosomal RNA", at positions 29 to 507 of the family's 1533-position model. The record is from RNAcentral.